GACGAACGCUGGCGGCGUGCUUAACACAUGCAAGUCGAACGGUGAAGGGACUGGUUUUGCUGGUCCUGGAUGAGUGGCGAACGGGUGAGUAACACGUGAGUAACCUGCCCCCUUCUUCUGGAUAACCGCAUGAAAGUGUGGCUAAUACGGGAUAUUCUGGGUCUGUCGCAUGGUGGGCCUGGGAAAGAUUGCGCCUUUUUUGGUGUUUUUGGUGGGGGAUGGGCUCGCGGCCUAUCAGCUUGUUGGUGGGGUGAUGGCCUACCAAGGCGGUGACGGGUAGCCGGCCUGGGAGGGUGGACGGUCACACUGGGACUGAGACACGGCCCAGACUCCUACGGGAGGCAGCAGUGGGGAAUAGUGCACGAUGGGCGGAAGCCUGAUGCAGCGACGCCGCGUGAGGGAUGGAGGCCGUAGGGUUGUGAACCUCUUUCGCCAGUGAAGCAGGCCUGCCUCUUUUUGUGGGUGGGUUGACGGUAGCUGGAUAAGAAGCGCCGGCUAACUACGUG
RNAcentral lists this ribosomal RNA (506 nucleotides) under uncultured bacterium. RNAcentral describes it as "partial 16S ribosomal RNA". It matches the Rfam family "Bacterial small subunit ribosomal RNA", at positions 28 to 507 of the family's 1533-position model. The record is from RNAcentral.